This 464-nucleotide ribosomal RNA is filed under the name uncultured bacterium. RNAcentral describes it as "partial 16S ribosomal RNA". It matches the Rfam family "Bacterial small subunit ribosomal RNA", at positions 28 to 507 of the family's 1533-position model. The record is from RNAcentral.
GACGAACGCUGGCGGCGUGCUUAACACAUGCAAGUCGAACGGAAAGGCCCCUUUGGGGGUACUCGAGUGGCGAACGGGUGAGUAACACGUGAGUAACCUGCCCUUGACUUCGGGAUAACUUCAGGAAACUGGGGCUAAUACCGGAUAGGAAUCCUUGCUGCAUGGUGGGGGUUGGGAAGCUUCGGCGGUUUUGGAUGGACUCGCGGCUUAUCAGCUUGUUGGUGGGGUAGUGGCUUACCAAGGCUUUGACGGGUAGCCGGCCUGAGAGGGCGACCGGCCACAUUGGGACUGAGAUACGGCCCAGACUCCUACGGGAGGCAGCAGUGGGGAAUAUUGCACAAUGGGCGGAAGCCUGAUGCAGCAACGCCGCGUGCGGGAUGACGGCCUUCGGGUUGUAAACCGCUUUCAGCAGGGGCGAAGCUUUUGUGACGGUACCUGCAGAAGAAGCACCGGCUAACUACGUG